CCUACGGGUGGCAGCAGUGAGGAAUAUUGGUCAAUGGACGAGAGUCUGAACCAGCCAAGUAGCGUGAAGGAUGACUGCCCUAUGGGUUGUAAACUUCUUUUAUAAGGGAAUAAAACGAGGCACGUGUGCCUUUUUGCAUGUACUUUAUGAAUAAGCAUCGGCUAACUCCGUGCCAGCAGCCGCGGUAAUACGGAGGAUCCGAGCGUUAUCCGGAUUUAUUGGGUUUAAAGGGAGCGUAGAUGGGUUGUUAAGUCAGUUGUGAAAGUUUGCGGCUCAACCGUAAAAUUGCAAUUGAUACUGGCAGUCUUGAGUACAGUUGAGGUAAGCGGAAUUCGUGGUGUAGCGGUGAAAUGCUUAGAUAUCACGAAGAACCCCGAUUGCGAAGGCAGCUUACUAAACUGUGACUGACAUUGAUGCGCGAAAGUGUGGGUAGCAAACAGGAUUAGAUACCCCUGUAGUC
Molecule: ribosomal RNA, 460 nt
Filed under: uncultured bacterium
Lineage: Bacteria
Description: partial 16S ribosomal RNA
Rfam family: Bacterial small subunit ribosomal RNA
Source: RNAcentral